This 253-nucleotide ribosomal RNA is filed under the name uncultured bacterium. RNAcentral describes it as "partial 16S ribosomal RNA". It matches the Rfam family "Bacterial small subunit ribosomal RNA", at positions 524 to 776 of the family's 1533-position model. The record is from RNAcentral.
UACGUAGGGUGCAAGCGUUAAUCGGGAUUACUGGGCGUAAAGCGUGCGCAGGCGGUGAUGUAAGACAGAUGUGAAAUCCCCGGGCUCAACCUGGGAACUGCAUUUGUGACUGCAUCGCUGGAGUACGGCAGAGGGGGAUGGAAUUCCGCGUGUAGCAGUGAAAUGCGUAGAUAUGCGGAGGAACACCGAUGGCGAAGGCAAUCCCCUGGGCCUGUACUGACGCUCAUGCACGAAAGCGUGGGGAGCAAACAGG